Molecule: non-coding RNA, 29 nt
Filed under: Homo sapiens (human)
Lineage: Eukaryota; Metazoa; Chordata; Mammalia; Primates; Hominidae
Source: RNAcentral
AGGAAGUCAUUGUAGGUGAGGCCGUUGGU